UGCCAGCCGCCGCGGUAAUACGGGGGGAGCAAGCGUUGUUCGGAGUUAUUGGGCGUAAAGGGCGUACAGGCGGCGGUGCAAGUCAGAUGUGAAAUCCACCGGCUCAACCGGUGAUCUGCAUUUGAAACUGCAUUGCUUGAGUACAGGAGAGGAGAGCGGAAUUCUCGGUGUAGCGGUGGAAUGUGUAGAUAUCGGGAAGAACACCAGUGGCGAAGGCGGCUCUCUGGCCUGAUACUGACGCUGACGCGCGAAAGCUAGGGGAGCAAACAGGAUUAGAUA
This 279-nucleotide ribosomal RNA is filed under the name uncultured bacterium. Its description in RNAcentral is "partial 16S ribosomal RNA". It matches the Rfam family "Bacterial small subunit ribosomal RNA", at positions 506 to 784 of the family's 1533-position model. The record is from RNAcentral.